GACGAACGCUGGCGGCGUGCUUAACACAUGCAAGUCGAACGGAAAGGCCCUGCUUUUGUGGGGUGCUCGAGUGGCGAACGGGUGAGUAACACGUGAGUAACCUGCCCUUGACUUUGGGAUAACUUCAGGAAACUGGGGCUAAUACCGGAUAGGAGCUCCUGCUGCAUGGUGGGGGUUGGAAAGUUUCGGCGGUUGGGGAUGGACUCGCGGCUUAUCAGCUUGUUGGUGGGGUAGUGGCUUACCAAGGCUUUGACGGGUAGCCGGGCUGAGAGGGGGACCGGACAAAAUGGGCCUGGGAUGAGGCCCGGACCAGAAUCGGAGGGAAGGGAGGGGAAGAGUACACAAGAGGAGGGAGGCAGGUGUGACAAAGCAGGGUGGGGGAUGACGGGCUGCGGGUUGUAAACCGCUGUCGCCUGUGACGAAGCGUGAGUGACGGUAAUGGGUAAAGAAGCACCGGCUAACUACGUG
RNAcentral lists this ribosomal RNA (468 nucleotides) under uncultured bacterium. Its description in RNAcentral is "partial 16S ribosomal RNA". It matches the Rfam family "Bacterial small subunit ribosomal RNA", at positions 28 to 507 of the family's 1533-position model. The record is from RNAcentral.